UCCCGACGCCGUUCCCGCGGGUCUGGCACACGCCGGGGGACACCGAGGCCAACCUGGACCCCCCGACCGUGCACGACCUGGCCAAGGUGCUGCUGGUCUUCGUGGCCGAGUUCCUGCAGCUCUGAGCCCCAAAGUCCCCGAAAACAGCCCCAAAAAAACCACCCAAAACCGCCAAAAAUGGAAAAACCCAAAAAUCCCCCAAAAAUCCCCAAAAAAACACCCCAAAAAAAUCACAAAAAAACCCCGGACCUGGCCAAGGUGCUGCUGGUCUUCGUGGCCGAGUUCCUGCAGCUCUGAGCCCCAAAACCCCCCAAAACAGCCCCAAAAAACCACCCAAAACCGCCAAAAAUGGAAAAACCCAAAAAUCCCAAAAAACCA
Passer montanus (Eurasian tree sparrow) is the source of this 378-nucleotide long non-coding RNA. RefSeq lists it as uncharacterized. NCBI's taxonomy places the organism in Eukaryota, Metazoa, Chordata, Aves, Passeriformes, Passeridae. The transcript is spliced from 2 exons. The record is from RefSeq and is a predicted model, not a curated record.